Molecule: long non-coding RNA, 530 nt
Organism: Arabidopsis thaliana (thale cress)
Lineage: Eukaryota; Viridiplantae; Streptophyta; Magnoliopsida; Brassicales; Brassicaceae
Product: other RNA
Exons: 1
Source: RefSeq
GUCUUCCGUCACAAUCUCCGUUCAGCUCACCGCCACCACCGAAGCUGAUAUUCCUUAUUGAUCUAAGUUUCUUCAAUGAAAUCAGCUUUUACUCCAAAUAACCACUUGAUAGAUCUUUCUACAGUUGUAUUGCCGCCCUCUUAGAUUGGAACCGUCUCGUAAGAUUGAAGAAUUUUCAGAUCUUUUUUGCUUCAACUCAAGCUCAAAGAUAGAAGCUCCGCCUUUUGACCUAUCAUAUGAGGUCAACUUCGUAUGAUAACGAAGUAAUUUUAGCGAAGAUAUUACUCUAAUCAUUUGAGAAGAGCCAAGCUACGGUUAAAGGAAAGAAACCAAUCUUAUAAAUAGCGGAAUUUGGAUUUAGCUUUGGUAGAAAGAUGAACAAAAUAAACCAAACUUAGAUGGAAAACAAUCCAAACUAAGAUGGUAAUAAACUCCGGCAAAGCGGAAACUAGGUAUCCGUUUAAAAUCGAAAAUUAUUCAUAUAAAACAAAAAAACAGAAAAAUUCCGGCUAACCGCCUUUAAUAUAUAU